Molecule: ribosomal RNA, 425 nt
Filed under: uncultured bacterium
Lineage: Bacteria
Description: partial 16S ribosomal RNA
Rfam family: Bacterial small subunit ribosomal RNA
Source: RNAcentral
GUGGGGAAUAUUGGACAAUGGGCGCAAGCCUGAUCCAGCAAUGCCGCGUGGGUGAAGAAGGUCUUCGGAUCGUAAAGCCCUUUCGACAGGGACGAUGAUGACGGUACCUGUGGAAGAAGCCCCGGCUAACUUCGUGCCAGCAGCCGCGGUAAUACGAAGGGGGCUAGCGUUACUCGGAAUUACUGGGCGUAAAGGGCGCGUAGGCGGCUCUGUUAGUCAGGCGUGAAAUUCCUGGGCUUAACCUGGGGACUGCGCUUGAUACUGCAGGGCUUGAGGCCGAGAGAGGGUGGUGGAAUUCCCAGUGUAGAGGGGAAAUUCGUAGAUAUUGGGAAGAACACCGGUGGCGAAGGCGACCACCUGGCUCGGUUCUGACGCUGAGGCGCGACAGCGUGGGGAGCAAACAGGAUUAGAUACCCUGGUAGUCC